This is a long non-coding RNA of Coturnix japonica (Japanese quail), 1420 nucleotides long. RefSeq lists it as uncharacterized. The record is from RefSeq and is a predicted model, not a curated record. Lineage: Eukaryota; Metazoa; Chordata; Aves; Galliformes; Phasianidae.
GGAGUAAGGAUCUACCCCUUUCCAGCCCUCAUUUAAGGGUUGGCAGUGGAGGCAAGGGGGUCUUGCUGGAAGCCCCUCUGUAUGCGAGGCCUUUUAAAGAUGGACAGACAGAGCUUGCUGUUCCCCUUUAGAGAGUGAGGAAGACUGUUAUUCUACAUGAGGCGUAUUAAUUACUGGCUCCCUGGGCACUGGGAUCUCUCUUUUCUCAUGGAGCUGCUGGAUUUCUGUGUCAAUGAUGUGUGUGGAAGAUGAAGUCCAGCAUCAGAGCCAGGCUAAAGAGAUGGAGAGCAGAAGGUGGAGAAAUGUGCCCAUAUCUGCACUGCAUUUGCUCCUUAAUCAGAGGAAUUGUGCCUUGAUUUGGGGGAGAGUUCUAAAUGAUUGGAGGAAGGUUGUUUGCAUCACCUGCCUUGUGCCUAUGUGCACAAUCCAUCUCUAGCUGGCUGAAAGGAUAAAGAAGUGAGCUGACAAAUGCCAACACUUUUUUUAGAGCACAUUAUAAGGUAAAGCCUAAAAUAAAUUUGUUAUUGUUUUCACGUACUUUGGACAUAGCUCUGUGCCCAGGAUAUGUAUCAAGAACAAUUCCUCUGCCUGCAGUCUAAAAAUGAGCUAUAGAGUACUUACUCCAACUGCCAGUUUCCUGGGAAAAAGGUUUGCCAUGACCAUCUAUUAUCUCAACUGCAAAAGAAAAGUAAACUCUUAACCACAUAUAAAAUUCAGCAAUUCUUUUCUAGCAAUAGGAGUUUGGCUUUGGUGAUAGUAAGUGUUGUUUUGUGAUUUAAUAGUUCACUACGUACUUUGCCUAUAAUCACAGAGUAAUAAAUAACUAUUGGCAAGAUGGAUAGCAGCUUGAUCCGAGAGGUAUGGAAGAGAUAAAGCAAUAGGCACAAAUGCACAAUUUGUAUUCAUAGUAAAUGGGUCUGAGCCGUGAAACAUGGAAAAAAAAACUGAUAUGAGAGCAUACAUUUGUUAGAUACCUCUGAUUUGGGAGAUGGUUAAAUGUCUACAUUCAUACUCGCUAGUUGCCUUUCUAGUUUAUAGGACUUGCUUUGUCCUAUAAACAUGGAAAAUCCCUUCCUGAAGUGUUAACUCUGAAUCUUAUGGAUCUGGACUACCCUCUGAAAGACCACACCAGCUUUUUGGACCCUAUUAAUCAGAAGUCUGUUUGCAUGCUGCCUCAUUCAACAUUCUCUGUAGUUGCUGGGAGUUUUGCUGACUUCUGAGUCACAAAGUGACACCUUCAGAUCUGUUUACAUUUGAUAUCGAGCCCUGUUAGACGUGGGUUUCACAUGAGGCAAAACCUUGACACCUGACACUUGUGCUCCUUCCUUCUUUCCUGUUGCUGAAGAAAUGGUUAUGUUCUAGUUUGCUGGCUACUCUCUCCCGAGUGACACAGCAGUUAAUAAAUGCAAUAUAUAAAUUA